This 296-nucleotide long non-coding RNA is filed under the name Setaria viridis. RNAcentral's name for it is "long non-coding RNA (SVIR_LNC010969)". The record is from RNAcentral. Lineage: Eukaryota; Viridiplantae; Streptophyta; Magnoliopsida; Poales; Poaceae.
UAACAUUAAAAAUUAACAUCAGAAUCAACAAAAGAUCACACUUGCAACAUAGAAAAAUAUGUAUGAAAAUGACUAUGCCAUCCCAUUUAGGAUCGUAAAUUCCACCGUAACAUAUGACUGUCAUGUUUCAUUCAACACUCAUAGAGCGUAUAUCAAGUUUGCAACAUUGAAAUGUGGUAUAUGCAAAAUUUGAUAUCAAACAUUUGAAACAUAAAAGAUAUACACAGAAAAUAGUUCAUAACUGCAUUUGAUUCUGUGACAAAAUCUCCACUCUUUGACCAAUCUCACAAUAAAAC